UGGCGCCCAGGCAGCCGGCGCCCUAGGCCUGAGCGGCCAGGCACUAGGCGCCCAGGUGGACGGCCACGCGGCAGGCGGCAACAACCGAAACUUGUCAGCUCGUCGUGCCUGUGGUUCAGCAACGAAGAAGGAUGACGACACGGCUAUGAGGAGGUGGUGGAAGAUUUUUUUCAGCGGACAGGAAUCUGACCAAGCAAGCGGUAAUUGAAGAACAAAUGAGAUAAGUUGAAACCUGAUUAUAUGGCAUGAAAAAAUUUGAUGAGGAAGCAAACUAGUACGGGGUGGGAUAGAUCGUCUAGCGGCGUCAUUGGUAUGGAUAAUGAAUGGUGGAAGAAAGCAAGCAGGAUAUUCCAGGAUCUGGCAAAUUUAGGAAGAAACCAUUACAAAAUAAGGACGACUUGAGAAUUAUGUUUAGCGACAUCACAAAUAUGAAUCAGAUCAUUGGAAUCCUAUAAGUUCUAACCCCAUUAUCCCACCAAAUGAAGAGUCUCCCUUCAAUGCUGCCACAUGCGCUCAGGUUUUUUACGUAGGCUAUGAUGACAUUGUUACUGGUGGUGGGCAUGAUAAUGCCAAUGAGGUUGAGGAGGUUUCUCCAUCUCCUUCCUUGGUUGGUAUAAAGAGAAGAGCUAACAUCAUCAUGGAUAAAUUGAAGAAACCAAAAACAGGAACAGCACUAUUCAUUCAAAAGCAAGUAACAAAAUUAGCUGAGAUGGUAUCUACAUUUGCAUCAAGGAAGCUAUCUGAAGUUACUAUCAACGAAGUUAUGGAGCAUGUUUUGAUUGCGGGGCGGGUUAUGAUACUAAUGAGCAUUACAUUGCCACCGAGUUAUUUGUGAAGGACCGGAGAGAAAUGUUCAGGACCGUUCUCGUCCAACGCUUUGCCUAGAACCCAGUAUUCACCUAGUCGUCCAUUGCCUUGUAGGCAGGCAGGCGAGU
Molecule: long non-coding RNA, 935 nt
Organism: Panicum hallii
Lineage: Eukaryota; Viridiplantae; Streptophyta; Magnoliopsida; Poales; Poaceae
Exons: 3
Source: RefSeq, a predicted model, not a curated record